Molecule: non-coding RNA, 24 nt
Filed under: Mus musculus (house mouse)
Lineage: Eukaryota; Metazoa; Chordata; Mammalia; Rodentia; Muridae
Source: RNAcentral
UUCUUAUCCGUGGAGAUGGGGUCU